AGAGUUUGAUCCUGGCUCAGGAUGAACGCUAGCUACAGGCUUAACACAUGCAAGUCGAGGGGCAGCAUGGUCUUAGCUUGCUAAGACUGAUGGCGACCGGCGCACGGGUGAGUAACACGUAUCCAACCUGCCGUCUACUCUUGGACAGCCUUCUGAAAGGAAGAUUAAUACAAGAUGGCAUCAUGAGUCCGCAUGUUCACAUGAUUAAAGGUAUUCCGGUAGACGAUGGGGAUGCGUUCCAUUAGAUAGUAGGCGGGGUAACGGCCCACCUAGUCUUCGAUGGAUAGGGGUUCUGAGAGGAAGAUCCCCCACAUUGGAACUGAGACACGGUCCAAACUCCUACGGGAGGCAGCAGUGAGGAAUAUUGGUCAAUGGGCGAGAGCCUGAACCAGCCAAGUAGCGUGAAGGAUGACUGCCCUAUGGGUUGUAAACUUCUUUUAUAAAGGAAUAAAGUCGGGUAUGCAUACCCGUUUGCAUGUACUUUAUGAAUAAGGAUCGGCUAACUCCGUGCCAGCAGCCGCGGUAAUACGGAGGAUCCGAGCGUUAUCCGGAUUUAUUGGGUUUAAAGGGAGCGUAGAUGGAUGUUUAAGUCAGUUGUGAAAGUUUGCGGCUCAACCGUAAAAUUGCAGUUGAUACUGGAUAUCUUGAGUGCAGUUGAGGCAGGCGGAAUUCGUGGUGUAGCGGUGAAAUGCUUAGAUAUCACGAAGAACUCCGAUUGCGAAGGCAGCCUGCUAAGCUGCAACUGACAUUGAGGCUCGAAAGUGUGGGUAUCAAACAGGAUUAGAUACCCUGGUAGUCCACACGGUAAACGAUGAAUACUCGCUGUUUGCGAUAUACGGCAAGCGGCCAAGCGAAAGCGUUAAGUAUUCCACCUGGGGAGUACGCCGGCAACGGUGAAACUCAAAGGAAU
Molecule: ribosomal RNA, 910 nt
Filed under: human gut metagenome
Description: bacterial SSU rRNA
Rfam family: Bacterial small subunit ribosomal RNA
Source: RNAcentral